This 1178-nucleotide ribosomal RNA is filed under the name Salmonella enterica. RNAcentral describes it as "partial 23S ribosomal RNA". It matches the Rfam family "Bacterial large subunit ribosomal RNA", at positions 1 to 1211 of the family's 2925-position model. RNAcentral also lists the same sequence under 1 other name. The record is from RNAcentral. Lineage: Bacteria; Pseudomonadati; Pseudomonadota; Gammaproteobacteria; Enterobacterales; Enterobacteriaceae.
GGGUUGUGAGGUUAAGCGACUAAGCGUACACGGUGGAUGCCCUGGCAGUCAGAGGCGAUGAAGGGCGUGCUAAUCUGCGAUAAGCGCCGGUAAGGUGAUAUGAACCGUUAUAACCGGCGAUACCCGAAUGGGGAAACCCAGUGUGAUUCGUCACACUAUCAUUACGUGAAUACAUAGCGUAAUGAAGCGAACCGGGGGAACUGAAACAUCUAAGUACCCCGAGGAAAAGAAAUCAACCGAGAUUCCCCCAGUAGCGGCGAGCGAACGGGGAGGAGCCCAGAGCCUGAAUCAGCAUGUGUGUUAGUGGAAGCGUCUGGAAAGGCGCGCGAUACAGGGUGACAGCCCCGUACACAAAAGCGCAUGUGUUGUGAGCUCGAUGAGUAGGGCGGGACACGUGGUAUCCUGUCUGAAUAUGGGGGGACCAUCCUCCAAGGCUAAAUACUCCUGACUGACCGAUAGUGAACCAGUACCGUGAGGGAAAGGCGAAAAGAACCCCGGCGAGGGGAGUGAAAAAGAACCUGAAACCGUGUACGUACAAGCAGUGGGAGCACCCUUUGGGGUGUGACUGCGUACCUUUUGUAUAAUGGGUCAGCGACUUAUAUUCUGUAGCAAGGUUAACCGAAUAGGGGAGCCGGAGGGAAACCGAGUCUUAAUUGGGCGUUAAGUUGCAGGGUAUAGACCCGAAACCCGGUGAUCUAGCCAUGGGCAGGUUGAAGGUUGGGUAACACUAACUGGAGGACCGAACCGACUAAUGUUGAAAAAUUAGCGGAUGACCUGUGGCUGGGGGUGAAAGGCCAAUCAAACCGGGAGAUAGCUGGUUCUCCCCGAAAGCUAUUUAGGUAGCGCCUCGUGAAUUCAUCUCCGGGGGUAGAGCACUGUUUCGGCUAGGGGGCCAUCCCGGCUUACCAACCCGAUGCAAACUGCGAAUACCGGAGAAUGUUAUCACGGGAGACACACGGCGGGUGCUAACGUCCGUCGUGAAGAGGGAAACAACCCAGACCGCCAGCUAAGGUCCCAAAGUCAUGGUUAAGUGGGAAACGAUGUGGGAAGGCCCAGACAGCCAGGAUGUUGGCUUAGAAGCAGCCAUCAUUUAAAGAAAGCGUAAUAGCUCACUGGUCGAGUCGGCCUGCGCGGAAGAUGUAACGGGGCUAAACUAUGCACCGAAGCUGCGGCAGCGA